GCCCUUACGGGGCGCAGCAGGCGCGAAACCUCCGCAAUGUGAGAAAUCGCGACGGGGGGAUCCCAAGUGCCAUUCUUAACGGGAUGGCUUUUCUUUAGUGUAAAAAGCUUUUGGAAUAAGAGCUGGGCAAGACCGGUGCCAGCCGCCGCGGUAAUACAAGGGC
RNAcentral lists this ribosomal RNA (163 nucleotides) under uncultured archaeon. RNAcentral's name for it is "partial 16S ribosomal RNA". It matches the Rfam family "Archaeal small subunit ribosomal RNA", at positions 319 to 480 of the family's 1478-position model. The record is from RNAcentral.